Molecule: long non-coding RNA, 538 nt
Filed under: Vulpes vulpes (red fox)
Lineage: Eukaryota; Metazoa; Chordata; Mammalia; Carnivora; Canidae
Description: lncRNA (ENSVVUG00000010137.1)
Source: RNAcentral
GGAUGGGGCACCUCAGACAACAGGCAUAGCUAACUAACCACUAGACAUGUGAGUGAGACUCUUUUGGACAAUCCAGCCCCAGUCAAGCUACCAGAUGACAGUAGCUUUACAGCAGACAUGCAUGAUAUUUACUGUGGCUCUACUCAACUACAUCUUUAAGGGGAAGCCUUUGGAUUUCCCUGAAGCCCAGAGCUCAAGAUGAAGACCUCCAGUUCCUGUGUCAUCAGUCUCCUUUUUACUAAGGACACAAAGAACUAUGCAUUGGAUGCUUCCCUCAGGCUUCCAUAAGAUAGAUUUCUUCAUUACCAGGAAGCUCCAAAUGUGCUUGCAGAUUUUAACAAUGACAACAGUAAAAACCAUGACAUCUAUGAAAUCUGACAAUCCUUGCCACAAGAAAGCUACUAUUCUUGGAGAGAUUUGUGAAGACAGACAAUUCUAUGUCCCAAAAAGAUAGCAUUGAGAAAGUAACACUCACAGAAUAAGAACGUAAUCUUGAGAGUGUAAUUGGAAUUGGAAAUAAAAAGUUGAAUAAAAGGCA